CGAGAAGGGAACGGCGGGGGGGGGUGGCUUAACACAUGCAAGUCGGACGGGUAAGGACCCCUUCGGGGGGUACACGAAGUGGCGAACGGGGUGAGUAAACGGGUGGGGUAACCUACCCAGAGGUGGGGGGAUAGCCCCGGGAAACCGGGGGGGUAAUACCGCAUACGUCGCAGAAAACACAAGUUUUUUGCGGGAAAGGCGGGGGAUCCUUCGGGGACCUGUCGUCUCUGGAUGGGCCCGCGUCCGAUUAGCUUGUUGGUGAGGUAACGGCUCACCAAGGCUGCGAUCGGUAGCCGGCCUGAGAGGGCGAACGGCCACAUUGGGACUGAGACACGGCCCAGACUCCUACGGGAGGCAGCAGUGGGGAAUCUUGGGCAAUGGGGGAAACCCUGACCCAGCGACGCCGCGUGGAGGAUGACGGCCUUCGGGUUGUAAACUCCUGUCAGGUGGGAAGAAGAACUUGUCGGAUAAUACCCGGCAGGGAUUGACGGUACCACCAAAGGAAGCCCCGGCUAACUCCGUGCCAGCAGCCGCGGUAAUACGGAGGGGGCAAGCGUUAUUCGGAUUUACUGGGCGUAAAGCGCACGUAGGCGGCAUGGCAAGUCGCAGGUGAAAGCCCUCGGCUCAACCGAGGAACUGCCUGCGAAACUACUUUGCUUGAGUCCGGGAGGGGGGAGCGGAAUUCCCAGUGUAGCGGUGAAAUGCGUAGAUACUGGGAGGAACACCGGUGGCGAAGGCGGCUCCCUGGACCGGAACUGACGCUGAGGUGCGAAAGCGUGGGUAGCAAACAGGAUUAGAUACCCUGGUAGUCCACGCCGUAAACGAUGGGCACUAGGUGCAGCGGGUGUCGACCCCUGCUGUGCCGAAGUUAACGCAUUAAGUGCCCCGCCGGGAGAGCUGACGA
Molecule: ribosomal RNA, 904 nt
Filed under: uncultured bacterium
Lineage: Bacteria
Description: partial 16S ribosomal RNA
Rfam family: Bacterial small subunit ribosomal RNA
Source: RNAcentral